This 2070-nucleotide long non-coding RNA is filed under the name Bos indicus x Bos taurus (hybrid cattle). RNAcentral's name for it is "lncRNA (ENSBIXG00000017633.1)". Lineage: Eukaryota; Metazoa; Chordata; Mammalia; Artiodactyla; Bovidae. The record is from RNAcentral.
AUGAAAGUGAAGUCGCUCAGUCGUGUCCGACUCCUAGCGACCCCAUGGACUGCAACCUACCAGGCCCCUACGUCCAUGGGACUUUCCAGGCAAGAGCACUGGAGUGGGGUGCCAUCGCCUUCUCCGAGCGACUUGGGAAGGUCCUCUUAUCCUGGAGCCAUCUGUGUAUCUGUGACCAAGAUCCCAUCCCCAGGAGGUCAGGAGGCAUCCCCUCACCCCCGCACAUCUCGAGGGAGGCACAAAGGCCUGGGUGUGUCCCCACAGCCCGGCUGGACUGUCCGAGCCCCACCUUGGAUGCCCAGGGACAGAAGCCAACUUGGGAGUUGCUGUCUGGGUCGUGCUGGGAGAUGGGACCCCCUCUGUGCUGCAGGAACCUUCCUGGGACAGCAAGUUUGGGGAUCAGGCUGUCCUCAGCUGAGCCCUUCAACUGCCACUGACUAUGGGGGCGACCUUGGCCCUUACCUCCCUGAGCCUCAACAUCCUCAUCUGUAAAAUUCAACCUCAGAUGUUCUUGUGAAGUUUAGCUGUGAUCGUCCAAGAAAUGUAUUUAAUAUAGCCCCAGGUGUGGAGUAUUCCAUGGACAGAGGAGACUGGCGGGCUACGGUCCAUAGGGUUGCAAAGAGUCGGACACGACUGAGCGACUGACACUUUGACUUUUUCACAGGCAGGAGGUGAACAUAAGCCUUGGCUUUGCGGCUAUUAGGAGCCAGAGAAAUAGGAGGGGGACUGGGUGUGGAGUGCCCUCUGCUGGACGAUGAUGACACAACAGCAGGGCUGCCCAGACCAGAGACCACUCAACAUCUCAGAACCUCUUCUGUAAAAAUGAUGGAAUGGUGAUGUCAACAUCGUGAGGAGGUUAUUUGAGAACUGAUUGAGCUAAUGCAUGUAAAAUUACUAGAUUAAUGUGAUGAACUAAAGGUAAGUGCAAAUUCCUUAUCUAGUGGCCUCCCCAUCUGGAGAUGGAGUUUAUUAAGAAGAAAGUGGUGGUGACAUUUUAAGGCUGCCAGCUUCUGCUUACUGACUCUUGGAACACUUGCUCUUGGGAAAGAGUCUUGGAAAACCCAGCUGCUAAGUUUUGGGAAGCCUAAGCCACAUGGAGAGGUCGUGGGCAGACGCUGCAGUUGACCAUCCCAGCUGAAGCACUGAGAGUCUGUACACCCCUUAUCUACACUAUACCAUUUGAUGGAGGGUAAAGAACCCCACCCAGAACAGAUCCCUUGUAGCAGAAGAUUUAGAUCUAAUGGCUGAAAGAAUCAAAUAUUGCCGCAUGCUAAGUCGCUGCAGUCGUGUCCAACUCUUUGCAACCCCAUGGACUGUAGCCUGCCAGGCUCCACUGUCCAUGGGAUUCUCCAGGCAAGAAUAUUGGAGUGGGUUGCCAUGCCCCCAUCCAGGGGAUCUUCCUGACCCAGGGGGAUUGAAUCUACGUCUCCUUCACUGUCAGGUGGGUUCUUUACUUCUAGUGCCACCUGGGAAACCCAAUCAAAUACUACAUAUUUGUGAUUUGGGCUUACUAUGCCCCAGGAAAGUGAACAAACCCGAAGCCUUUGGGGAACAGUUCAGAGAAGGACUUCACAGGAUAAAUAGGAAGCAUGUACAGACAAUUCAUAGAAUAGUCGACAGAAAACUUGGGUGCGUAUGCAUGUGAUAAAUGACUCAUCUUUUUGUGGAAUUUUUUUAAUCCAGGGUUGUUUUGUUUUGUUUUUUGGACAGCACCACAGCAUGUGGGAUCUUAGUUCUCCGACCAGGAAUCAAACCCAUGCCCCCUGCAGUGGAAGUGCAGAAUCCUAACCACUGGAUUGUUAGGGUAUUCCUGGAAAUUAAAAAAAAAUAAGUCUCAAGUACUUAGAUUCUGCAUUGAUUAGAACUAGGAUUGAAACCAUUGGCCCCAAGUUUCAAAGGUGCUGAUGGGGGGACUUACCUGGUGGUCCAAUAGUUAAGAAUCCACCUUCCAAUGCACGGGAGGUAUGUUCGAGCAUUGAUGCAGAACCAAGAUUCCACAUGCCUUGAGGCGAGUAGGCCUACACCCUGUAUUAAGACCCAAUGCAACUAAAUAAAUAAAUUAAAAUUAAG